CACACUUACUGUUAUUGUUUACAUACAUUUUUUAUUUUUGUAUUAUGUUUCCUGGUGUGGCAAGUAGCCCAGAGCUAUAGUUUGGUAUUUGGAAACCUUAGAUUACAAAAAAGUGAGUUAAAUUCAGUAUGUUAUGUUAUUUUGUAAAGAACUAGGCGUUCGCUUAGUUAUCGUUAUGAUUAGUAUGUGUAUUUUUACAAAAACGCCUACUUGUCCAAUAAUGCAACCAUGUAACUCUUGUUUAUCAGGGCUUAUUUUGACUUAAUGAAGUAUGCAUGCAAAAUAAUUAUUGACACAAUGCAUAAUCAUGAUAUUUUAACAGAUUCACGAUAAACGCCCGUUGUUAAUGUUUCGAAGUAUGCUACACAAGAAUGUGUAUUUCAUUCAUACAGUGCUGGACUAAUGUAACGUUCAAUUUCAUACGCUUGGGUUUUUAGAAACUUUAUAACGGUACAGAUGCAACUUACAUGUUGACACUUUUCGUGUAUUUUUUUUAUACUGUAUUUAUUUCUGCAUAUUGUUUUGACUAGUUCAAUUCUAUUUAUGCCUUAUCUUCAUAUAUAGUGCUUCACGAUUCAAAUGUACCUUUAAGACAGCACAGAGCAGCGAAACAUAGAAAAAACAACGACUUCAUAUAUUAAAAAACAGUUUUUGUAUUGUACACUCAGUUUUUCAACAUGCUUUAAGGGUCAUUACAACGUUAUACUGUUAAUAUUGUUGUUAUAAACAGUGCAGUCAAUAAAUGUUUUGCAAUUGUUUUGAAAACUUGUGUUUGUCAUUUGUACCUAAUGAUCUAAUCACAAUUAUCAAAUCACUCGUAUUUCACCAGUAAAUCAUAAUAGUUAUCAAAGGUACCAGGCUUAUAACUAAGUACGCCAGACGCGCGUUUCGUCUACAUAUAUAUAUAAGACUCGUCAGUGACGCUCAGAUCGAAAUAGUUAUAAAGCCAAACAAGUACAAAGUUGAAGAGUGAAAAUGUCAAAAAGGUGUGCCAAAUACGGCUAAGGUAAUCUAUGCCUGGGAGAAAAUCCGCAUGGAAUAAAAUAAACAAUUAAACUAUUGCAUCACGUUACUGCAUAGGAACAGGGCAGUAUAUAGUCUUUUUUCUUUAUAUUACAUGUAGUUGUGCUUCAUUCCAGACUGAUUGUUAAAAUAUUCGACAAUAAAAAAAUAUUUCAAUUUAUAUUUCAUAAUCGCUAUGAAACAUGAUAAAUAUGUAUAUUUAUCAGUAACAAUAUUUAAUAUAGAUAUGAUUAAUGUAUGUUUUAUUUCUGUUGAUUUGUUUCAGAUUGUAAAUAUGAGGUUAUGAGACUAGUGAUUAUGUCCCAUCAUUGUGAUUUUCGUCAAAUGGGAGAUUAUGAUGUUUGAAAAUGGCGGGCUAUCGUCAUCAUCUACCAUAUUAAAAAAUAAAUCACAUUUUUUUCUUAAACGACGAUUCCGAAUCGGACAGAUGCUGGGUAAAGAAGGUGAUAGAUUCUCUUAAUGUCUUAGGAUACUCCAGUGGGUGUAUCACUGAUAAUUUCAAUUUCAAACAACCAAAUAGUAUAUUUGAGAACAUUGAAACAACAGUAGAACAAUCAGCCAUAUUUGCUUUUGUUAUUUCGCAAAACUCGGAAAAGUCGAAAAAAUUUAGACACCUUCUUGAGAUUGCUGUGAUUUUGAUAAUACAAUCUGAUGAAGAGAAACCAAUGCUCCCCAUAUUGCUAGAUAAUACUGAAAUCCCCAAAUGUUUACUCAAUAUCCAGCCAUUAAUUGCUACCGGAUCAAGACAUAAAUGGUGGCCAAAAUUGAUGAGUGUUGUAGAAUUACAUUGCAGUGUUUCGAGCAGUGAAGAAUCAGACGAAGAUUUAAAAGCGUUGCAAGAACAAAUCAACAUAACACUUACAACGAAAAGCAAACGGAAACAGGAGAAAUUUAGAAAAAGAGUUUCACAAAGCAGCCAGAUACAAAGCACAAGUGUAGUAGUUACAAACACAUCUUUGUACAAACGAAUGUGGGGCUAAGAUGACCACGUUUUACUUUUUGAAAAAAUGAACAUAACAAUUUAAAGUUUUAAAGCAACCGUUUUUAAUGUCGUAUUCAAAUUUAAAAAUCUGAGUGUUCAUCUGACUUAUACAACGAUUUUGUUAAUUUGUUUCACUUAAUUUGUUUGGACAAGUUUUACACACACACUUAAAAUAUGUAUGUUCCUUUGACAUAUACAUCGAUUAUGUUUGUAUGUUUUGUAUGUUAUAUUAUUAGGAUACGUUUAAUACUUUAACUGAGAAUUGUGAUGUUCCUGUGACUUAAAUACCGAUUGUGUUUGUAUGUUUUGUCACAAAUAUUAAUAGAACAAGUUUUAUACUAACACGGAGAAAUUGAACAUUCUUGUGACUAAUACAUCGAUUAUGUUUGUAUUUUUAUACUAAUACUGAUAAUUUUUAUGCAUCUUUGAUCUUUACAUCGGUUUUGUUUGACAAUGUAUGUUUUUCACUGAUAUAUGUUUGGCUAGUUUCAUACACUUACAGAGAAUGUGCAUUUUUCUGUGACGUACUAUCUAUUUAUUUCACGUCACUGGACGGAGUCAAACCCAUUUGAUGAUUGUAUAACAGUCCAUGUGUAGACUGCAGGUGUUUUGGGAUAACUCAUCAAUGAAGUGUCCAGUUAUGGUCAUUGAUCCAGUUACACUAUUUGUGUAUUCUCUAAUUAAUAAUUGGACAAAGCCGUUGAUCUUGUUGUAAAACAGAGUUUACAAACAUAAAAAUUGUCACGUUUUGAAACUUGUGGAUACGAAAGUAACUCCAUAACGACGUCAGUUGCAAUUCUGCAUAUGUCGUUAUUCUAAAAUGUUUUGGUGAAAUUGAUUUGUGAUUAAAAAUUAAUAAUAAUAAUAAUUAUAACGGCAAUGAUCCUUAUCACACACAUUUUCCAAUAGAUCGUCCUUAUGUAAAUUGAAAUUUAAGCUCCCCCCGGUCAGUUGAAAAUACAUUGGUAAUAUACUAAACGGAAACCUUGUAAAGUUGAAAUUAAUGUCACACAAAGCCUAUUAACGUUUUGCUUAUUGCUUGCUUAUUGUUUGGAAAGUUUAGCAUGAUAGGAUACAUGUUACUAUGUUUAAUUGUAAUUUGUUUUAUAAUUACUCGUUACGAUUCAUUUGUAUGACUGAGCUACUAGUAAAAAAAGAACAGUAUAUAUGUAUAUGCAUCUGCGAUGCAAUAUGUCAUAUGAUGUGUUAUAUAUUUUGUUACAUAUAUUUAUUUUCUGAUUAGAAUAAUUUGCUUAAAACUAAUUUGCAAAUCGUUUUUCUGUGAUCACAAACAGCAAGCACCCUGACCGAGAAGCUAAUCAUUAAAGAGUUCUAUUCCAAAGAACAAAC
Molecule: long non-coding RNA, 3355 nt
Filed under: Mytilus galloprovincialis (Mediterranean mussel)
Lineage: Eukaryota; Metazoa; Mollusca; Bivalvia; Mytilida; Mytilidae
Source: RNAcentral